Sarcophilus harrisii (Tasmanian devil) is the source of this 2269-nucleotide long non-coding RNA. RefSeq lists it as uncharacterized. The record is from RefSeq and is a predicted model, not a curated record. Lineage: Eukaryota; Metazoa; Chordata; Mammalia; Dasyuromorphia; Dasyuridae. The transcript has 2 exons.
AGGAGGAGGGAGGCGUCGAAGGACGACGGCAGGACGUGGAAGGGGCGGGAGGUGGGGGUGGGGGUGAAAGGGGACAAUUGGGGAGGCCUCGGUGAUCCGAAGGAUACGGUGGGUCGCAGGGCACCGCCAGACGGAAUCCCCGCCUAAGUUCAAGAAGGGCGUCAGAAGGGUCCCCGGAUCUGACUCCCAACUCCCAGCCCCAGAGGAAAAGUCCCGUGAACCGCUCCAGAUGAGAGUCUGAGAGGGCGAAGGACACGGCUGAGGAACAGGCCAGCCAGCGGUCGGCCACUGCCCAGCUCUGCUUUACUUCUCAAGUUCCAAAGGCCCUGGAGCUCCGCAUCCAAGGGGAAGGGCACAGGAGACCUUGGCCGUAAAGGCUUCAGACUAAAUUCUCUGUGUUCCCCCGUGGCUCAGAAAGGUCCCUAAAUCUAUAUAUUUACCUUAUUCUAAGAAGCAAUCUGAUAGUUGUGUAUUUGAUAAUGCACUGCUCACAAACAUUAGAAGACUCUUCAUGGUUGCCUUUUAGGGUAAUCUCACAAAGAACUAAUAACUAGCAUUUAUGUAGGGCUUUAAAGUUUGCUAAGCACUUUACUCACAUUCUCAUUUGAUUCUCACAACAACCCUGCGAGACAGGUUGGGGGAGUUGUGACUUGCCUAGGGUCGCUACUAAAAAUCAGGGUCCCGAUUCAAAGCCAAGAGUCAAUCCCAAGUGUAGUACCCUAUUCAUUGGGCCAUCUAGCUGCCUAAAUUUAAAACUUGUUUUACACUUCAGUACAGGGAAUUUAUUCCAGCUAAAACAGUAUGUUGAAUGAAGCCUGUGUUUUAUCAAAGGAUUCAGAUGUUUUACUAUUUAUUUCUCUAAAGAAGAGCAACAUGAAAUUCAUACCCCAUAUAUUGUAGUGGUCUAUUUUUUAAAAAAAUUUGGAUGUAGUCAAAACUUUUUGCAUGUUGCCAUGGAAAACCCAUUCAUGCGAAGAUAAUCAUUUCACUUAGUUUACCAAAAACGACAAAGAAAGUAAAAUAUGAAAGUGCUCCAGAGCGCAAAAUAUUUUAUUUAAGAAUUUACAGUGUCAAAUCUAACACUUUUAGGAAAAAUAGCAGCUCCCAGAUCAUAGGAAGCCUUCUUGAAUUAAAAGGUUUUGGCAGUCUAUGCGGAAAGAACAAUCAGCAGCAGGGCUGAACUGUAGGAAGCCAAGGAUCCAAACAAAGUUUAGAAGACCAAAGAAAAUCACAUUGACUGCUGAUGAGAGAGUCCAGGAGUUAGAAUUAUGGACCAUUAAACAACAACAACAAAAAAAAAAAUAAAUGUGUUUCCACCAGGACUUGCCUUUUAAGUUGAAAUGAAUGAAUUCUAAAUUUUAUUGUACAACCCUGCAAAACAUUUUGGAAUUUAAAUUUCUCCCCCCUAUUUAAUCCAAAUGUUAGCUAGAUAAAAAGAAAGGACCAGUGCUAAUUCCACAUUUACAUCAUUUCUACUUAAGAAGUUCAAAUAGCAAAGUAACAAAUUAUUCAUCUUCCCCCAGCAAAACCUAAAGAAAGUAUGACCUAUUGAUUUUAUAAAUAUUAAAUCUUCUCUCUCAUUGGGCCUCUUCAGACUUAACCAAUAUGAAUAAUAUUGAAAAUAUUCUAAAUUAAACCUAAAAGAUUUUCAAGUUCAUUAGGUAGAGGUCUAUAUUUGAAGUUUAGCAUAUUCAAUAUAUAAACUACUUAAGACCUUAAACUGUUUGGGGGCAGAAAUAACUGAGUCCAGGAUUUCACACAGGAUUCUAUUAUGUUUAACCAUUUUCAAGAUGUGACCAUCGUAAUUAAACUGUGGCAAUAUUAUGAGAGAAAAAAAAAAGGAACUUAACCAUAUUGCACUGUAAAAAAAAAAAAAAAAAAAACACUCGGAAGAGUACAGCAAUGACUAUUAUACAAAAGCUUUUUGUACUAUACAAUUUCUUUUACAAUGAGCCUAAACACAAGCUACAUACAUACUAGGUAAAAUCCAAAUCAAAUUUAUUACAGUCACAGUUUUCAUUUAACAAUGGUUAAUUUGGAUCAGCUGUGGCCCCCACAUCUGUAUGCGCCAGUCAUAGCCUAAGACACAAGUUUUUUUUUGUUUUUGUUUUUUUUGCUGAUGCUCUCUGAUAACUGAACACCUUUCACAUAUGGACAAAACAUCACUCUAACUUUAUGUGCAUUAAAAUUAGUCAUGGUCCUAGUAAGGCCACAGAGAGUUAGGUAAAAGUGGAAACAUACUUGCUACAGGAAAGAAAAUGCACUUCUG